AUCAUCAAAAAUGUGGUCGUCUCGUGACUCGUGAUAGAAUAGGUAUAAGGUAACACUCCAUGCUGUAUAGCAGGGAAAUAAAACCAAGGAUUUAAGACCUGAGUGAGCAAUCCUAACCACAAGAUAUUCAAGUCUUUACUUGUGCUGGACCUGUCAUCAGCAACAAUUUCAGUCUCAUCAUCGGUUUGGAUAAACAGCAUCCCGUUUGCAUGGAGAAACUACCGAUGUCGAUCGGGUUACGGAUCUCUUGUUGCCUCUUCUUUGAAUGCCCUCGUGUACACCCAUGUGAGUGUGGGUGUAUUCACGAGGACCCCACUUUUCCCUAUCCUGUCUGUGGUGGAUUCAACUCUCCAGCGGAUGGGGCACUUGUGGAUGGAUGCCUGGUCGUAUUUUCCAGCCUUAAAGCGGACGUGAUGUGGCGUUGGCAUCGCCCAGAUCUACUAUGUCGAUGGCCUAAACUCCGGGACGGAACGAACCAAAUAAUAACGACCGACCGUCCGUCCGUCCGUCUGUCUGUCCGGCUAUACAGAGUGGGCCCAGCUCACAUGGCCGACAACCUUGGGAGAUGCAUAGGCAACAGCAGGCGCCGGGACCAGCGCUUCAAAAACGUGAGGGAAACAAACAACAGCCCCAAACGGAGCUGGCUGCACGAUCAUCGCCCCCAAUUUAAAUAUCUCGGACAACCCAGCAGCAGCACCGGCCGGCUCGGCGCUCUUCUCCCGCUAUAAAGGGCUCACGCGUGCAUACUUUAUAUAUCCCCAAGGUCUCUGGCAUGUCUGUCGGGUCCCGGGUUGAACGCACUCGCUCCAUACACACGAGAUAUUUAUUUCCCCAGUCUGUAUAGCAGAAGUUAUAUAUAUAUAUUUAUUUCCCCAGUUUUUCGGAAUUUUCGGGUAGAUUUAUGAACGUCACGUAGGCCUCUCUCUCUCCCGCUUCAUUUGAAUUUCAUUUUUUUUUGUUUUUUUUUAUUAUUGUCCCGCAUUUAUAGCAUUUGAUUUAUUUUCCCGGACGACUGAUUCAGUUUGUAGGCCGUCAUCUUCGAUCGGACGUCCCUCAAUCACAGAAAUGAAAUUGAAUUAUUUACGCUGCUGUUGCAUGGGAAGGAUCCUUUGGGGAGGACGAAACUGAAGAGCUGGAAGCCUCCCAGGUGAUUGCGACGGGCCGAUCCGUUGGCGGAUGACAGCAUCGAAUAAAGACAAUACAAAACGACGGAGAAUAGGACGGCACAGAUGACCUUUAGUGCGCCAAUUUCAUCCAUUUUUCUUUUUCUUUUUAUUACAGGCGCCUCUGUGUGUGUUUUGGCCGGACCUUGGUGAAUUUUUAAUGCCAACUGAAUUCAGUUUUUUUUUUCCUUUUCUUUUUCCGGGGCUGGACUGUUUCCAACUGGAAACGACCAAAAUUUCCCAACGUCGUCGUCGCGAUUUUUUCUUUUUUUUCUUUUACUGGGAAUUUUGGAUCGGAAUUUUAAGGACACGCUAGGGCAUCGGGUCGACGAACAUUUUUUUUCUGUUUGACUCGAGAAAGAGAUUGAAAAUUUGUCCUAAAAAUCAGGGACUAUUUUUUUUAAAUAAUUAAAAAAAAAAAAAAAAAUUGAAAUUUUUUCCACAUUUCGAAUUUGUCCGCUUAAUUUUUUAAAAAAAUAUUUUGUAAAAUAUUUCUGGGAACAACCGCAAUGGAAAUUGCAUUAUAUUUCCCGAGAUAUUUCUGACCAGAGAUAUCGUCUAAAAAUUGACACUAGGUAUAUAGCCUACCAAUAGAAUAGAUAUUAUAGGACAUUUUAUAGUUAACUGCAUCGGGGAUUUCGGCCUCCGUUGCGUCAUUCAUUUUUUUAAGAAAGAAAAAAAAAACCAUUUCUAAAUAUAUAUUUUAGUCCAAUAUAUAAUUACCUACGGGGAAUUGUGAGUCUCUACGUCAACAACUUUAUGGGGUAUAGUAUUUAUUUGUGUAUCGCUGCUAUGCAGCCUUUAAAGAUAGCCCCCCCCCAACAACUCUGAACACAAAUGACGUACAGUGUCCCAAAUGAAUUAUCUGGCGUAGGAUAACUUGACCACUAUUUCUCGCUGGUCUAAAUAUACUCACGUGUGUUGUUGUUAGUAAAUACCCUGGUGAAUUCCGAUAACACUUAUGUAAUUUUCCAUUUUUUUUGUGAAUUUUUAUCAGUAAUUAGCAGUUUAUCUUCGUUUUACUGAAUUCGCCAGUUGCAGUGAAUUAACGAAUAUUAUUUGUUGACUUUUUGAGUCUAAAAAUCAUCUCUGGUGAAUUACGAAAAAAUGUUGCGUAAUAUUUUUGUUUCUAUGAGCAUUUGGACAGUUUGAUGUCGUUGAAUUGAAAUGGCCCAGCUUCAUCGGAAGAUUUCAUCUCCUGGCAGUUGUUUUUCAAUGACAUUCAAGUUCACAAUGUACACAUAAAAACGGCCCGUGUGGGAAUAAGUUCUGUUGAACUUUGUUUAUGCGUACACACACGGCCGUCACACAAGGUUUUUAAAACGUAACGUUUAGACAUUUAUAAUGAAACAGUUUACGACUUUUGGCAUUUGACUUUAAAAUGACAAUGGCCAAAUUAUUCCCACAACUGGGAAUAAACUCGAAUCGCAAUUUGGAAAAAAUAAAAGUCAGAAUAAGAGAAGAGAAAUAAAAGUUGACUCUCAGAUGAAAUUGUCCUAUGCGAUUUCAACUUAAAAUCAAUUGGCGAUUCCAAUGAAAUAAAAUUCAUUUGUGUCAUCAGUCACGUAGGCUGAUGACGUUUCGCCAGUUUAAUGGACUGACCUUUUUUUUCAGGUAAAUUGACGAAAAGAUUUCGGU
Daphnia pulex (common water flea) is the source of this 2801-nucleotide long non-coding RNA. RefSeq lists it as uncharacterized. The record is from RefSeq and is a predicted model, not a curated record. Lineage: Eukaryota; Metazoa; Arthropoda; Branchiopoda; Diplostraca; Daphniidae. The transcript is spliced from 6 exons.